GUUAAGCGACUAAGCGUACACGGUGGAUGCCCUGGCAGUCAGAGGCGAUGAAGGACGUGCUAAUCUGCGAUAAGCGUCGGUAAGGUGAUAUGAACCGUUAUAACCGGCGAUUUCCGAAUGGGGAAACCCAGUGUGAUUCGUCACACUAUCAUUAACUGAAUCCAUAGGUUAAUGAGGCGAACCGGGGGAACUGAAACAUCUAAGUACCCCGAGGAAAAGAAAUCAACCGAGAUUCCCCCAGUAGCGGCGAGCGAACGGGGAGCAGCCCAGAGCCUGAAUCAGUGUGUGUGUUAGUGGAAGCGUCUGGAAAGGCGCGCGAUACAGGGUGACAGCCCCGUACACAAAAAUGCACAUACUGUGAGCUCGAUGAGUAGGGCGGGACACGUGGUAUCCUGUCUGAAUAUGGGGGGACCAUCCUCCAAGGCUAAAUACUCCUGACUGACCGAUAGUGAACCAGUACCGUGAGGGAAAGGCGAAAAGAACCCCGGCGAGGGGAGUGAAAAAGAACCUGAAACCGUGUACGUACAAGCAGUGGGAGCACGCUUAGGCGUGUGACUGCGUACCUUUUGUAUAAUGGGUCAGCGACUUAUAUUCUGUAGCAAGGUUAACCGAAUAGGGGAGCCGAAGGGAAACCGAGUCUUAACUGGGCGUUAAGUUGCAGGGUAUAGACCCGAAACCCGGUGAUCUAGCCAUGGGCAGGUUGAAGGUUGGGUAACACUAACUGGAGGACCGAACCGACUAAUGUUGAAAAAUUAGCGGAUGACUUGUGGCUGGGGGUGAAAGGCCAAUCAAACCGGGAGAUAGCUGGUUCUCCCCGAAAGCUAUUUAGGUAGCGCCUCGUGAAUUCAUCUCCGGGGGUAGAGCACUGUUUCGGCAAGGGGGUCAUCCCGACUUACCAACCCGAUGCAAACUGCGAAUACCGGAGAAUGUUAUCACGGGAGACACACGGCGGGUGCUAACGUCCGUCGUGAAGAGGGAAACAACCCAGACCGCCAGCUAAGGUCCCAAAGUCAUGGUUAAGUGGGAAACGAUGUGGGAAGGCCCAGACAGCCAGGAUGUUGGCUUAGAAGCAGCCAUCAUUUAAAGAAAGCGUAAUAGCUCACUGGUCGAGUCGGCCUGCGCGGAAGAUGUAACGGGGCUAAACCAUGCACCGAAGCUGCGGCAGCGACGCUGAUGCGUUGUUGGGUAGGGGAGCGUUCUGUAAGCCUGUGAAGGUGUGCUGUGAGGCAUGCUGGAGGUAUCAGAAGUGCGAAUGCUGACAUAAGUAACGAUAAAGCGGGUGAAAAGCCCGCUCGCCGGAAGACCAAGGGUUCCUGUCCAACGUUAAUCGGGGCAGGGUGAGUCGACCCCUAAGGCGAGGCCGAAAGGCGUAGUCGAUGGGAAACAGGUUAAUAUUCCUGUACUUGGUGUUACUGCGAAGGGGGGACGGAGAAGGCUAUGUUGGCCGGGCGACGGUUGUCCCGGUUUAAGCGUGUAGGCUGGUUUUCCAGGCAAAUCCGGAAAAUCAAGGCUGAGGCGUGAUGACGAGGCACUACGGUGCUGAAGCAACAAAUGCCCUGCUUCCAGGAAAAGCCUCUAAGCAUCAGGUAACAUCAAAUCGUACCCCAAACCGACACAGGUGGUCAGGUAGAGAAUACCAAGGCGCUUGAGAGAACUCGGGUGAAGGAACUAGGCAAAAUGGUGCCGUAACUUCGGGAGAAGGCACGCUGAUAUGUAGGUGAAGCGACUUGCUCGUGGAGCUGAAAUCAGUCGAAGAUACCAGCUGGCUGCAACUGUUUAUUAAAAACACAGCACUGUGCAAACACGAAAGUGGACGUAUACGGUGUGACGCCUGCCCGGUGCCGGAAGGUUAAUUGAUGGGGUCAGCGCAAGCGAAGCUCUUGAUCGAAGCCCCGGUAAACGGCGGCCGUAACUAUAACGGUCCUAAGGUAGCGAAAUUCCUUGUCGGGUAAGUUCCGACCUGCACGAAUGGCGUAAUGAUGGCCAGGCUGUCUCCACCCGAGACUCAGUGAAAUUGAACUCGCUGUGAAGAUGCAGUGUACCCGCGGCAAGACGGAAAGACCCCGUGAACCUUUACUAUAGCUUGACACUGAACAUUGAGCCUUGAUGUGUAGGAUAGGUGGGAGGCUUUGAAGUGUGGACGCCAGUCUGCAUGGAGCCGACCUUGAAAUACCACCCUUUAAUGUUUGAUGUUCUAACGUUGACCCGU
RNAcentral lists this ribosomal RNA (2209 nucleotides) under Escherichia coli. Its description in RNAcentral is "partial 23S ribosomal RNA". It matches the Rfam family "Bacterial large subunit ribosomal RNA", at positions 1 to 2236 of the family's 2925-position model. The record is from RNAcentral. Lineage: Bacteria; Pseudomonadati; Pseudomonadota; Gammaproteobacteria; Enterobacterales; Enterobacteriaceae.